Molecule: ribosomal RNA, 484 nt
Filed under: uncultured bacterium
Lineage: Bacteria
Description: partial 16S ribosomal RNA
Rfam family: Bacterial small subunit ribosomal RNA
Source: RNAcentral
AUUGAACGCUGGCGGCAGGCCUAACACAUGCAAGUCGAGCGGAUGAAGGGAGCUUGCUCCUGGAUUCAGCUGCGGACGGGUGAGUAAUGCCUAGGAAUCUGCCUGGUAUUGGGGGAUAACGUCCGUAAACGGGCGCUAAUACCGCAUACGUCCUGAGGGAGAAAGUGGGGGAUCUUCGGACCUCACGCUAUCAGAUGAGCCUAGGUCGGAUUAGCUAGUUGGUGAGGUAAAGGCCUACCAAGGCGACGAUCCGUAACUGGUCUGAGAGGAUGAUCAGUCACACUGGAACUGAGACACGGUCCAGACUCCUACGGGAGGCAGCAGUAGGGAAUAUUGGACAAUGGGCGAAAGCCUGAUGCAGCAAUGCCGCGUGUGUGAAGAAGGUCUUCGGAUUGUAAAGCACUGUAAGUUGGGAGGAAGGGCAGUAAGUUAAUACAUGGCUGUCUUGACGGUACCAACAGAAUAAGCACCGGCUAACUUCGUG